GACGAACGCUGGCGGCGUGCCUAAUACAUGCAAGUAGAACGCACAGUUUAUACCGUAGCUUGCUACACCAUAGACUGUGAGUUGCGAACGGGUGAGUAACGCGUAGGUAACCUGCCUGGUAGCGGGGGAUAACUAUUGGAAACGAUAGCUAAUACCGCAUAAUAUUGAUUAUUGCAUGAUAAUUGAUUGAAAGAUGCUAUUGCAUCACUACCAGAUGGACCUGCGUUGUAUUAGCUAGUAGGUGAGGUAACGGCUCACCUAGGCGACGAUACAUAGCCGACCUGAGAGGGUGAUCGGCCACACUGGGACUGAGACACGGCCCAGACUCCUACGGGAGGCAGCAGUAGGGAAUCUUCGGCAAUGGACGAAAGUCUGACCGAGCAACGCCGCGUGAGUGAAGAAGGUUUUCGGAUCGUAAAGCUCUGUUGUAAGAGAAGAACGGGUGUGAGAGUGGAAAGUUCACACUGUGACGGUAUCUUACCAGAAAGGGACGGCUACUACGUG
Molecule: ribosomal RNA, 504 nt
Filed under: uncultured bacterium
Lineage: Bacteria
Description: partial 16S ribosomal RNA
Rfam family: Bacterial small subunit ribosomal RNA
Source: RNAcentral